AAGUCGAACGGGAUCCAUUGGUGCUUGCACUUUUGGUGAGAGUGGCGAACGGGUGAGUAACACGUGAGUAACCUGCCCUUUUCUUUGGGAUAAGCCUGGGAAACUGGGUCUAAUACUGGAUGUUCCGGCUUCCUCGCAUGGGGUUGUUGGGAAAGGUUUUUUCUGGAUUGGGAUGGGCUCGCGGCUUAUCAGCUUGUUGGUGGGGUGAUGGCUUACCAAGGCUUUGACGGGUAGCCGGCCUGAGAGGGUGGUCGGUCACACUGGGACUGAGAUACGGCCCAGACUCCUACGGGAGGCAGCAGUGGGGGAUAUUGCACAAUGGACGCAAGUCUGAUGCAGCGACGUCGUGUGGGGGAUGAAGGCCUUCGGGUUGUAAACUCCUUUCGCCUGCGGAAAAGGCAGGGUUUUGGCCUUGUUGAUGGUAGUGGGUAAAGAAGCGCCGGCUAACUACGUGCCAGCAGCCGCGGUAAUACGUAGGGCGCGAGCGUUGUCCGGAAUUAUUGGGCGUAAAGGGCUCGUAGGCGGUUUGUCGCGUCUAGCGUUUAAGGCUCGGGCUUAACCCGGGUUUGCGUUGGGUACGGGCAGGCUUGAGUGCGGUAGGGGUAACUGGAAUUCCUGGUGUAGCGGUGGAAUGCGCAGAUCUCAGCGAGGAACACCGGUGGCGAAGGCGGGUUACUGGGCCGUUACUGACGCUGAGG
Molecule: ribosomal RNA, 698 nt
Filed under: uncultured Actinomycetes bacterium
Lineage: Bacteria; Bacillati; Actinomycetota; Actinomycetes
Description: bacterial SSU rRNA
Rfam family: Bacterial small subunit ribosomal RNA
Source: RNAcentral